GGACCCGCACAAGUAGUGGAGCAUGUGGUUUAAUUCGAAGAUACGCGCAGAACCUUACCAACACUUGACAUGUUCGUCGCGACUUUAAGAGAUUAAAGUUUUCGGUUCGGCCGGACGAAACACAGGUGCUGCAUGGCUGUCGUCAGCUCGUGUCGUGAGAUGUUGGGUUAAGUCCCGCAACGAGCGCAACCCUCACUUUUAGUUGCCAUCAUUAAGUUGGGCACUCUGAAAGAACUGCCAGUGAUAAGCUGGAGGAAGGUGGGGAUGACGUCAAGUCCUCAUGGCCCUUACGUGUUGGGCUACACACGUGCUACAAUGGCAUCUACAACAGGAAGCAAGACGGCGACGUUAAAGCAAAUCCUUAAAAAGAUGCCUCAGUUCGGAUUGCACUCUGCAACUCGAGUGCAUGAAGCUGGAAUUACUAGUAAUCG
Molecule: ribosomal RNA, 431 nt
Filed under: uncultured bacterium
Lineage: Bacteria
Description: bacterial SSU rRNA
Rfam family: Bacterial small subunit ribosomal RNA
Source: RNAcentral